GGGCGGUUAGCUCAGGGGUAGAGCACUCGCCUUACAAGCGAGGGGUCACUGGUUCGAACCCAGUACCGCCCA
Molecule: transfer RNA, 72 nt
Filed under: Thermobispora bispora DSM 43833
Lineage: Bacteria; Bacillati; Actinomycetota; Actinomycetes; Streptosporangiales; Streptosporangiaceae
Also listed under: 2 other names
Description: tRNA-Val (TAC) (tRNA-Val-TAC-1-1)
Rfam family: tRNA
About the family: Transfer RNA (tRNA) molecules are approximately 80 nucleotides in length. Their secondary structure includes four short double-helical elements and three loops (D, anti-codon, and T loops).
Source: Rfam by way of RNAcentral